Molecule: unclassified non-coding RNA, 329 nt
Filed under: soil metagenome
Description: partial contains 5.8S ribosomal RNA, internal transcribed spacer 2, and large subunit ribosomal RNA
Rfam family: 5.8S ribosomal RNA (bases 1-120)
Source: RNAcentral
GAUGAAGAACGCAGCGAAAUGCGAUAAGUAGUGUGAAUUGCAGAAUUCAGUGAAUCAUCGAAUCUUUGAACGCACAUUGCGCCCCUUGGUAUCCCGAGGGGCAUGCCUGUUCGAGCGUCAUUUCACCACUCAAGCCUGGCUUGGUGUUGGGCGACGUCCUCUUUGGGGACGCGCCUCGAAACGCUCGGCGGCGUGGCACCGGCUUUAAGCGAAGCAGAAUCUUUCGCUUUGGAAGUCGGGGCCCCGUCUGCCGGAAGACCUGCUCGCAAGGUUGACCUCGGAUCAGGCAGGGAUACCCGCUGAACUUAAGCAUAUCAAUAAGCGGAGGA